Molecule: ribosomal RNA, 252 nt
Filed under: uncultured bacterium
Lineage: Bacteria
Description: partial 16S ribosomal RNA
Rfam family: Bacterial small subunit ribosomal RNA
Source: RNAcentral
UACGUAGGACCCGAGCGUUGUCCGGAUUUACUGGGUGUAAAGGGCGUGUAGGUGGGCGCUUAAGUCGAUGGUGAAAUCCUGCGGCUCAACCGUAGAAUUGCCGUCGAUACUGGGCGUCUUGAGUGCGGCAGAGGGAGAUGGAAUUCAUGGUGUAGCGGUGAAAUGUGUAGAUAUCAUGAAGAACACCGGUAGCGAAGGCGGUCUCCUGGUCCGUGACUGACACUGAGGCGCGAAAGCGGGGGGAGCAAACAG